This 429-nucleotide ribosomal RNA is filed under the name Fusobacteriota bacterium. RNAcentral describes it as "Fusobacteria bacterium partial 16S ribosomal RNA". It matches the Rfam family "Bacterial small subunit ribosomal RNA", at positions 355 to 776 of the family's 1533-position model. Lineage: Bacteria; Fusobacteriati; Fusobacteriota. The record is from RNAcentral.
UGGGGAAUAUUGCACAAUGGGCGCAAGCCUGAUGCAGCCAUGCCGCGUGUAUGAAGAAGGCCUUCGGGUUGUAAAGUACUUUUAGCGGGGAGGAAGGGAGUAAAGUUAAUACCUUUGCUCAUUGACGUUACCCGUAGAAGAAGCACCGGCUAACUCCGUGCCAGCAGCCGCGGUAAUACGGAGGGUGCAAGCGUUAAUCGGAAUUACUGGGCGUAAAGCGCACGCAGGCGGUUUGUUAAGUCAGAUGUGAAAUCCCCGGGCUCAACCUGGGAACUGCAUCUGAUACUGGUAAGCUUGAGUCUCGUAGAGGGGGGUAGAAUUCCAGGUGUAGCGGUGAAAUGCAUAGAGAUCAGAAAGAAUACCGGUGGCGAAGGCGGCCCCCUAGACGAAGACUGACGCUCAGGUGCGAAAGCGUGGGGAGCAAACAGG